AUACGGAGGAUGCGAGCGUUAUCCGGAUUUAUUGGGUUUAAAGGGUGCGUAGGCGGCCUUGUAAGUCAGCGGUGAAAUUUUGCAGCUUAACUGUAAAAGUGCCGUUGGUACUGUGAGGCUAGGAUUUGGUUGCUGUGGGUGGAAUGUGUGGUGUAGCGGUGAAAUGCUUAGAGAUCACACAGAAUAUCGAUUGCGAAGGCAGCUCACAAAGCCAAGAUUGACGCUGAGGCACGAAAGUGUGGGGAGCAAACAGGAUUAGAUACCCUGGUAGUCCACACUGUAAACGAUGAUAACUCGCUGUCGGCGAUAUACAGUCGGUGGCCAAGCGAAAGCGAUAAGUGAUCCACCUGGGGAGUACGACCGCAAGGUUGAAACUUAAAGGAAUUGACGGGG
Molecule: ribosomal RNA, 393 nt
Filed under: uncultured bacterium
Lineage: Bacteria
Description: partial 16S ribosomal RNA
Rfam family: Bacterial small subunit ribosomal RNA
Source: RNAcentral